RNAcentral lists this transfer RNA (98 nucleotides) under Caldovatus sediminis. Its description in RNAcentral is "tRNA-Gly". Lineage: Bacteria; Pseudomonadati; Pseudomonadota; Alphaproteobacteria; Acetobacterales; Roseomonadaceae. The record is from RNAcentral.
GCGCGGACCAGGGCGCGGAGGUCGGCGGCGACCGCCUCCGCCGGGCGGGCGGCGUCCACCAGGACGCAGCGGGCCGGCUCGGCCUCGGCGAUCGCGCG